UGGGGAAUUUUGCACAAUGGGGGAAACCCUGAUGCAGCGACGCCGCGUGAUUUAGAAGGCCCUCGGGUUGUAAAAAUCUUUUCUAUGGGAAGAAAAUGACAGUACCAUAGGAAUAAGGACCGGCUAAUUACGUGCCAGCAGCCGCGGUAAUACGUAAGGUCCGAGCGUUGUCCGGAAUCAUUGGGCGUAAAGGGUACGUAGGCGGGUAAGCAAGUUAGAAGUGAAAUCCUAUAGCUCAACUAUAGUAAGCUUUUAAAACUGCUCAUCUUGAGGUAUGGAAGGGAAAGUGGAAUUCCUAGUGUAGCGGUGAAAUGCGCAGAUAUUAGGAGGAAUACCGGUGGCGAAGGCGACUUUCUGGCCAUAACCUGACGCUGAGGUACGAAAGCGUGGGUAGCAAACAGG
RNAcentral lists this ribosomal RNA (402 nucleotides) under Fusobacteriota bacterium. RNAcentral describes it as "Fusobacteria bacterium partial 16S ribosomal RNA". It matches the Rfam family "Bacterial small subunit ribosomal RNA", at positions 355 to 776 of the family's 1533-position model. The record is from RNAcentral. Lineage: Bacteria; Fusobacteriati; Fusobacteriota.